Molecule: ribosomal RNA, 253 nt
Filed under: uncultured bacterium
Lineage: Bacteria
Description: partial 16S ribosomal RNA
Rfam family: Bacterial small subunit ribosomal RNA
Source: RNAcentral
UACGUAGGGUGCAAGCGUUGUCCGGAAUUAUUGGGCGUAAAGAGCUCGUAGGCGGUCUGUUGCGUCCGCUGUGAAAACUCGGGGCUUAACCCCGAGCCUGCAGUGGAUACGGGCAGACUAGAGGUAGGUAGGGGAGAAUGGAAUUCCCGGUGUAGCGGUGAAAUGCGCAGAUAUCGGGAGGAACACCGGUGGCGAAGGCAGCUCGCUGGGACGUUACUGACGCUGAGACGCGAAAGCGUGGGGAGCAAACAGG